CAAGUCUUGACAUCCCUCUGAAUCCUCUAGAGAUAGAGGCGGCCUUCGGGACAGAGGUGACAGGUGGUGCAUGGUUGUCGUCAGCUCGUGUCGUGAGAUGUUGGGUUAAGUCCCGCAACGAGCGCAACCCUUAACUUUAGUUGCCAGCAUUCAGUUGGGCACUCUAGAGUGACUGCCGGUGACAAACCGGAGGAAGGUGGGGAUGACGUCAAAUCAUCAUGCCCCUUAUGACCUGGGCUACACACGUACUACAAUGGUCGGUACAACGGGAAGCGAAGCCGCGAGGUGGAGCCAAUCCUAAAAAGCCGAUCUCAGUUCGGAUUGCAGGCUGCAACUCGCCUGCAUGAAGUCGGAAUUGCUAGUAAUCGCGGAUCAGCAUGCCGCGGUGAAUACGUUCCC
This 399-nucleotide ribosomal RNA is filed under the name uncultured bacterium. RNAcentral's name for it is "bacterial SSU rRNA". It matches the Rfam family "Bacterial small subunit ribosomal RNA", at positions 975 to 1375 of the family's 1533-position model. The record is from RNAcentral.